This is a non-coding RNA of Paramuricea clavata, 73 nucleotides long. NCBI's taxonomy places the organism in Eukaryota, Metazoa, Cnidaria, Anthozoa, Malacalcyonacea, Plexauridae. The record is from the annotation of a GenBank genome assembly.
GGCCACGUAGCUCAGCUGGCAGAGCAUUGGACUAGUAUCCCAAAGGUCGCGGGUUCGAUUCCCACCAUGGUCA